AAAUAUAAACAUUGGUCUGCG
Molecule: small nuclear RNA, 21 nt
Filed under: Arabidopsis thaliana (thale cress)
Lineage: Eukaryota; Viridiplantae; Streptophyta; Magnoliopsida; Brassicales; Brassicaceae
Description: snRNA_02379
Source: RNAcentral